Molecule: ribosomal RNA, 207 nt
Filed under: uncultured bacterium
Lineage: Bacteria
Description: partial 16S ribosomal RNA
Rfam family: Bacterial small subunit ribosomal RNA
Source: RNAcentral
UGCGUAGGCGGGUUUUUAAGUCAGGGGUGAAAUCCUGGAGCUCAACUCCAGAACUGCCUUUGAUACUGAAAAUCUUGAGUCCGGGAGAGGUGAGUGGAACUGCGAGUGUAGAGGUGAAAUUCGUAGAUAUUCGCAAGAACACCAGUGGCGAAGGCGGCUCACUGGCCCGGUACUGACGCUGAGGCACGAAAGCGUGGGGAGCAAACA